Molecule: unclassified non-coding RNA, 297 nt
Filed under: Hevea brasiliensis (rubber tree)
Lineage: Eukaryota; Viridiplantae; Streptophyta; Magnoliopsida; Malpighiales; Euphorbiaceae
Source: RNAcentral
UAUUCUUAUACUUCCUUCUUCUGCACGUGACAUUAUACUUGUCCAGUUGCUAUUCUAAUGGCUUCUAGUUUUAAUUUCUUUCUUAAAAAUGAUAAGAACAUAUAUGUUAAGAGGUGUCUACCUGACAUAGAUGUACCGAAAGUUUAAACUUUUCCUUAGGUUUGGGAAGAAACACUUAAGUCAUCAUCUCUUUACAAUAGACAUAUUUUUAACCUGGACCAUUCAUUUUUUUUCCUUUUUCAAGUUGAAAAGAAAAAACUUGCGUCUUCUGUCUUCUAUCUUUCCAAUGAACACUAG